This 498-nucleotide ribosomal RNA is filed under the name uncultured bacterium. RNAcentral describes it as "partial 16S ribosomal RNA". It matches the Rfam family "Bacterial small subunit ribosomal RNA", at positions 29 to 523 of the family's 1533-position model. The record is from RNAcentral.
AUUGAACGCUGGCGGCAUGCCUUACACAUGCAAGUCGAACGGUAACGCGGGGCAACCUGGCGACGAGUGGCGAACGGGUGAGUAAUGCAUCGGAACGUGCCCAGUAGUGGGGGAUAGCCCGGCGAAAGCCGGAUUAAUACCGCAUACGACCUACGGGUGAAAGGGGGGGAUCGCAAGACCUCUCGCUAUUGGAGCGGCCGAUGUCAGAUUAGGUUGUCGGUGGGGUAAAGGCCUACCAAGCCGACGAGCUGUAGCUGGUCUGAGAGGACGACCAGCCACGCUGGGACUGAGACACGGCCCAGACUCCUACGGGAGGCAGCAGUGGGGAAUUUUGGACAAUGGGCGAAAGCCUGAUCCAGCCAUGCCGCGUGCGGGAAGAAGGCCUUCGGGUUGUAAACCGCUUUUGUCAGGGAAGAAAUCUUCUGGGUUAAUACCUCGGGAGGAUGACGGUACCUGAAGAAUAAGCACCGGCUAACUACGUGCCAGCCGCCGCGGUAA